Long non-coding RNA from Hypomesus transpacificus, 967 nucleotides. RefSeq lists it as uncharacterized. NCBI's taxonomy places the organism in Eukaryota, Metazoa, Chordata, Actinopteri, Osmeriformes, Osmeridae. The transcript has 5 exons. The record is from RefSeq and is a predicted model, not a curated record.
GUUCGAUUAGUCGAUUUUCAGACGUUUUAGUCGAGUCUUGGUCGACCAAGGAAAAUCUUAGUCGGGGACAGCCUUAACAACCACAGCCAAGACCCUGAUACUGUGGCUUUUCUUGUUGUCCCCGUCAGAUCCCUACUGCGAUUGUUUACAAAAUUUGCCUAACCAUAUAAUAACAGUGGUUACUUCCUCUUACACAGUUGAAUGAUCUGUGUUCCUACCAACUUUCAAGCCAAACCUACGCCCUUGGAGGGACCAUUUGCAAGGGUAUAAGCCAAUAUUCAAAUUCAGCUCACCCGACGCCUUGCCUAUUGGGGAAGAUGACUGCAGGUACUGUCGCACUCGGACAGCAGCGUCUCAACAACAUUUCCAGCAAAGGCACAUUAAGUAUGCAGUGUAUUUUAUAGAUGGUGGCAACGGAUGUCUGCUUGGUGAGACCACUGGUAAACAAGCCUGGAAACAAUCCACCCUUUCCUGUCCAUGGGGGUUGUUAGGAUCUUGAAAGCACGCAGAUGGACCAGUGUGGACAAAAGGCAGACUGCGUAUUACCAGCGAAGCAGGAUGGCGAGGAGCGGAAAAAAGGCACACAACUUCUGUUUGCAGAAAACAAGUCAUUGGGGACUUUCUGCAGCAGGAAGAAAAUGAUUGAAAAACAAAAACUUCAGAAAACCUCAUGACAUGCAAGCCACAUAACACAGCUAAAAAAGUCAAUAUUUCUCAUUGUUCAGUUUACUGUGGAAAGUGGGCAUGAUGGGUUCUAUGUAGUGAAUGUAGUUGAUGUAGUGAAAAUAAAUGUAUGUUAAAAUUUUAAAAAGAAUAUAAUUAUUAUUAGAUUUUUCUUGUAUGCUUCUAUGCUUGUAUACGGUUAUGAAAAUCACCCACAUUCCUUCACAAAUAUAGGCAUGUGACAAUUGUACACUGUAAUAGUUGAAGAAUUACAGUACCUCAAUAGGGAAGCAUGGAUUUAUGU